RNAcentral lists this ribosomal RNA (253 nucleotides) under uncultured bacterium. RNAcentral's name for it is "partial 16S ribosomal RNA". It matches the Rfam family "Bacterial small subunit ribosomal RNA", at positions 524 to 776 of the family's 1533-position model. The record is from RNAcentral.
UACAUAGGGUGCAAGCGUUGUCCGGAAUUAUUGGGCGUAAAGAGCUCGUAGGUGGUUCGUUACGUCGGAUGUGAAAAUCUGGGGCUCAACCCCAGACCUGCAUUCGAUACGGGCGAACUAGAGUGUGGUAGGGGAGACUGGAAUUCCUGGUGUAGCGGUGGAAUGCGCAGAUAUCAGGAGGAACACCAAUGGCGAAGGCAGGUCUCUGGGCCAUUACUGACGCUCAUGCACGAAAGCGUGGGGAGCAAACAGG